Molecule: transfer RNA, 71 nt
Filed under: Pirellulaceae bacterium
Lineage: Bacteria; Pseudomonadati; Planctomycetota; Planctomycetia; Pirellulales; Pirellulaceae
Description: tRNA-Gln
Rfam family: tRNA
About the family: Transfer RNA (tRNA) molecules are approximately 80 nucleotides in length. Their secondary structure includes four short double-helical elements and three loops (D, anti-codon, and T loops).
Source: RNAcentral
UGGCCCUUAGUGUAACGGCAGCACGACUGACUCUGAAUCAGUUAGUCAAGGUUCAAAUCCUUGAGGGCCAA